CUCUCUGUCUGUGCCAUAUUAAACUUACUGUGAAGAUGUAAAUACCUCUAUGAUGGUACAAUACCCCAAGACCCUUAAAAUUUUAGAUAAAGUGUAUAAAAAUUUUAUACUUUCAUUUUGUUGGCACACUAGCAUUUCAUGUAACCUAUUUUAAAUUAUACAUGCUAUUUUUAUAAAGACAGGAAGUUUCUGGCUAGGGAUAAAAGCUUACUUUUGGGAUAGCUUGUGACCUCGAUGUUGGACUGGGGCCUCUUUUUUUCAUAAGAUUCUAUUUCAUGUUCUGUACAAACACGUAUCCUUACUUGAUCCGAG
RNAcentral lists this ribosomal RNA (312 nucleotides) under Humboldtiana durangoensis. RNAcentral's name for it is "partial 16S ribosomal RNA". Lineage: Eukaryota; Metazoa; Mollusca; Gastropoda; Stylommatophora; Humboldtianidae. The record is from RNAcentral.